Molecule: small nuclear RNA, 183 nt
Organism: Dermacentor andersoni
Lineage: Eukaryota; Metazoa; Arthropoda; Arachnida; Ixodida; Ixodidae
Product: U2 spliceosomal RNA
Source: RefSeq, a predicted model, not a curated record
ACACGGCCGACGUGGGCCAAAGUGUAGCAUCUGUUCUCAUCCGCUCAAAGUUUCAUAAGGGUUCUAUUUGCACCCAAAAUAUUAAACUUAAUUUUUGCAAGUUAGCGAAGUGCUUGAAGCCUGCUUCCCCUCCGCCGCGGGUCGGCCCGGUUUUACACUAUCGUCGGGGUCGGCCUACGAUUU